GCAUAUUUUUGAGGGACUGUCAUUAGGUAGGCGCAUUCUAGUUCCACCAUGGCUUGUCUUCGUGUUCUGAUUGUUUUAAUGGUAACUGCUGCAAUGCUGUUGCAAGUUGAAGGAAAAAACGUUCCUAUUAGGGAGACAGUUUCAGACUGCACCAACGAAUAUGAAUCCCUGUGUGGAACGGUCAUAACCAAAGAGCAUUGCCAAGAAAGUCGUAAAACUACACGGUUUGGUUACUUUGCACGGCAUAUGUGCACUCAAUACUGCGGAUUGUGCUAACUGAAGCCUUCAUAAAGGUAGCUCUAUAUGGCAUCAUAUAUCUCAUUAAUGUGACGACUAAUCUAGCAAAGAAGUGAAUACAUCAACACGUAAUAACUACAAACGGGAAGAAGAAAUAUCAAAUUCAUCCAUAGAAUAUCAUAAUACAAUCAUACAAAGUAAAAAUAUGAAAUUUCAAUUGUUAUUUUGGAUUUAUUUUCCCGUUAUCAUUUUUUUAAUUAAGCACUCUUAAAGUUGGUUGACUUUUUUCAACAUAGUGCCAGUGUGACAAUUAAUAAUAAUAUGGCUAAAAUCAAUAAAGAUGUAAAGGGUAUCUCGUCAAAA
Exaiptasia diaphana is the source of this 600-nucleotide long non-coding RNA. RefSeq lists it as uncharacterized. The transcript has 4 exons. NCBI's taxonomy places the organism in Eukaryota, Metazoa, Cnidaria, Anthozoa, Actiniaria, Aiptasiidae. The record is from RefSeq and is a predicted model, not a curated record.